Molecule: long non-coding RNA, 2453 nt
Organism: Helianthus annuus (common sunflower)
Lineage: Eukaryota; Viridiplantae; Streptophyta; Magnoliopsida; Asterales; Asteraceae
Exons: 10
Source: RefSeq, a predicted model, not a curated record
CUCCCACUCUUCUUCGCAGCUUCAUCUAAUUGAACUUAUAAAACCUAAUCUCCUACUCUUUUUCGCUGUUUCAUCUAAAUAAUCACAACGACUCACUCCGAGGGCAUGAAUGGGUUUUGCAUGUGAGAUCUAAGUUUUGAGCCGGUAUUGAGAGGAAUGCAGUCGUGGGAUGGCCUGCUUCUUUGGGAUCCCAUGGGAUUCAAGAUGGUCAUAAUUGCAGUUUCACUAAUCACAAUAGAGAAGGAAACAAGUUAAUGGUCCCGGACCACCGAAACUAAUGGAAACUUGCCACAGAGCCCAGGUGGGGAUAUGAUUGAUAGUGUACACAUCUCUCACCAGCCCGCUUUUGAUCAUCCAUUUCUCAAAGACCACAAAAUUCAGAUAAGGCCAAAUUAUCAUCCAGAAGGACUUUAUGAUGAGAACAGAGUGUCCAAUGAAAGAGAGAACAGAAUCAAGCAGCUGUGGCACGUGCCCUAAAGAUACAAUCCCCAUAAGAAGAACAAAAGUAGAUUAUGUGUUGAGAGCAAGUAUGAAUGCUUAUUGGUAUUUUUAUGACUGUUUUUUCUUGUCUACAAUAUAGCCACUGAUGUCUUCUGUAAAGAUUUUGUUCGCGAGAAACGACCCUGUAGGAACUUACUUCGCACUAAACCGAUUGGGCAAGGGACAACCUCCUAGACUCAAGGACAAUUUGUUGGAUACUUAUUGGCUUAUUGCAUUACAAGUUACAAACCAGCAUUAAGGAACUGGUGACAUAGAAAAUGAGGCAAAUUUUGGCAAAAGGAAAGACGACAUGUUGUGGAAUACUUGCAAAGAUGGGUAAUUUGACCAAGAAGUUGAUAUGAAUGGAGGAGGGCUAGGAUGCUAGGAAAACUGCAAAGGGUAAGGUUCCAGUUUCCAACCAAGAGCCUGUGAACUCUCACAAUCUGCUUCCUCAAAACAUUUACUAUUUCAAAAGAUUCUGCUUCAUUCAUCUCAGACGAUUCUUCGACACUUGCAACAAUUCUGAUCUCUGUUUCACACUCAAAUUCUGUAUUUUUGUUUUAUUUUGGCUGACUUCUCAGCAACUGGUAGUAUGAAUCCAAUGAUCCGGACAAUGGUUCCACCUCCGUUUCAGCAGAUGGCACCUGCACCAUGGUUUCCACCAUCACCACCAGUGACCAGUUGACCCAAACGAAUAGUCACGAGGGCAUGCUCUUUUUGCUGAUCAUGUGGCAUACAAUAAAAAUAUAUAUGAUUACACAUAAAUAUUUAAUAUCUCCUUGGAGUAAAAUAUAGGUUUAAUUUACUUAAUUAAUUCUCUUCUGAGUUUUGUUUAUUUACUUUGUAAAUUGUACUUUUAUAUUAGUCUCGGGGUAAACUAAUAAAGUAUAUUUAUUUAAUAUAUAGGCACUUUUUAUUGUCAUAUUAGUGGAAUUUUUUAUAUAUAUGCAAGGGGUUAUUUUUGUUAUUAUUACAUGGCAUCCGAAGUUCCUAAUUGCAGGUUGCGUAGAGAAGUCGUGUAACUAUCACUUGGGACUGAGAAACAUAACCAGUUGGCAGUGUAAUGUGUGCAAUUGAUUUCGAUAGGGUGAGUGGAUCUUGGGUUCAAUUGAGGGGCCUAUUUUUCUACAUGCACAAGGCCUUAGAAUUCUUAGGGAUUCUUAGAGACGACUCUGACGCAUAUCAAACCGGUCAAAUGCAUAUAGUUAGCAAAGGCGCACCCGAGAAGAUACUCAAUCCUGCACAUAACAAACCAGAGAUCGCGAACAAGGUACAUUGGAUCAUCAACAAGUUUCCAAAGCAUUGGCUUCAGUCUACUGGAGUUGCUUGCCAAGUGAUUCAACUGUUCAACACAGCCUCGAUGGUUAACAUCCUAACUUUGAUUAUAAAAAGUUGAAUCAUUUUAUUUUUGUUUCAAGAAGUGCUAGCUGGAACAAAAGAGAGCAUGGGUGGCUUGUGGAAGUUAGUUGACCUUCUUCUGCUAUUCAACCCUCUACAACAUGACCGCGCUAAAACGAUCAACAUAGCUUUAUAUCUUGGAUUGAAGAAACACAUCCAAGGUUGCGGAUUGGGUUCAGCUGCAAAGGCAGCUAAGGAACCAGGUUAUGCUACAAUCCAAUGAUGUGGAAGUGGAAGUUAGAGACGGGAAAUGUGGAGUUCUUGGUUAGCCAUGUUAGAAAAUGUCUGGAAGACUGGAGGUGCCUAAGGUGAAUUACUUUGCGUAGAGAGCGGUCGAUGGGAAGAUUCCUAGGGCUUCCAGUUUUGCAGUAAGAAAUGUCCACUUCAGCAACGGCUAUAGGAUACGUGUGGAUAUUGCAAACUAUAUGUUUGAACGAGAGAGAAUACACUCUUUUGGAUAGAUAAUUGUUUAGAUGGCAGAGCAACUUUAUAACUCUAUAGCCAACACAUUAAUAUGUCAUACAUUUUGUAUCAUUUUAAGUAUGCAUUAAUCAUAAAUAAAAGUAUAUUAAUAA